UGGGUAACCUGCCCUUAACUCUGGGAUAAGCCUGGGGAAAACUGGGUCUAAUACCGGAUAUGACUCCUCAUCGCAUGGUGGGGGGUGGAAAGCUUUAUUGUGGUUUUGGAUGGACUCGCGGCCUAUCAGCUUGUUGGCGGGGUAAUGGCCCACCAAGGCGACGACGGGUAGCCGGCCUGAGAGGGUGACCGGCCACACUGGGACUGAGACACGGCCCAGACUCCUACGGGAGGCAG
RNAcentral lists this ribosomal RNA (236 nucleotides) under uncultured bacterium. Its description in RNAcentral is "partial 16S ribosomal RNA". It matches the Rfam family "Bacterial small subunit ribosomal RNA", at positions 118 to 351 of the family's 1533-position model. The record is from RNAcentral.